This 215-nucleotide ribosomal RNA is filed under the name Glomeromycotina sp. Its description in RNAcentral is "partial small subunit ribosomal RNA". The record is from RNAcentral. Lineage: Eukaryota; Fungi; Glomeromycota.
GGGUCAGUAGGUUGGUCGUGCCACCGGUACGUACUGGUCUCACUGAUUCCUCCUUCCUGAAGAACCGUAAUGCCAUUAAUUUGGUGUUGCGGGGAAACAGGACUGCUACUUUGAAAAAUUAGAGUGUUUAAAGCAAGCUAACGCUUGAAUACAUUAGCAUGGAAUAAUGAAAUAGGACGAUCGAUCCUAUUUUGUUGGUUUCUAGGAUUGACGUA